This 27-nucleotide non-coding RNA is filed under the name Homo sapiens (human). The record is from RNAcentral. Lineage: Eukaryota; Metazoa; Chordata; Mammalia; Primates; Hominidae.
GGGCAUUGGAGGGACAAUUUGGAAGGG